RNAcentral lists this ribosomal RNA (446 nucleotides) under uncultured bacterium. RNAcentral describes it as "partial 16S ribosomal RNA". It matches the Rfam family "Bacterial small subunit ribosomal RNA", at positions 338 to 795 of the family's 1533-position model. The record is from RNAcentral.
CCUACGGGUGGCAGCAGUAGGGAAUUUUCGGCAAUGGGGGGAACCCUGACCGAGCAACGCCGCGUGAACGAAGAAGUUUUUUGUAAUUUAAAGUUCUUUUAACAGGGAAGAAAGAGAAAUUUGUCGGUACCUGAAGAGUAAGCUCCGGCUAACUACGUGCCAGCACCGCGGGUAAUACGUAGGGAGAGAGCGUUAUCCGGAAUAAUUGGCCGUAAAGGUGGGGUAGAUGGCAUAGUAAGCCUUUUGUAAAAAUGCUGGGCUAAACCCAGUAGGGCAAAAGAUACUGCAAAGCUAGAGUAUGACAGAGGCAAGUGGAACUACAGGUGGAGCAGUAAAAUGCGUAAAUAUAUGUAAGAACACCAGUGGCGAAGGCGGCUUGCUGGGUCGAUACUGACAUUGAGGCACGAAAGCGUGGGGAGCAAACAGGAUUAGAUACCCGGGUAGUC